RNAcentral lists this ribosomal RNA (253 nucleotides) under uncultured bacterium. Its description in RNAcentral is "partial 16S ribosomal RNA". It matches the Rfam family "Bacterial small subunit ribosomal RNA", at positions 524 to 776 of the family's 1533-position model. The record is from RNAcentral.
UACGGAGGGUGCAAGCGUUAUCCGGAUUUACUGGGCUUAAAGGGUGCGCAGGCGGAUAUGUAAGUCAGUGGUGAAAUCUCUGGGCUUAACCCGGAAAUUGCCAUUGAUACUAUAUAUCUUGAAUGUUGUAGAGGUAAGCGGAAUAUGUCAUGUAGCGGUGAAAUGCUUAGAUAUGACAUAGAACACCUAUUGCGAAGGCAGCUUACUACGCAGAUAUUGACGCUCAUGCACGAAAGCGUGGGGAUCAAACAGG